RNAcentral lists this ribosomal RNA (1808 nucleotides) under Salmonella enterica. RNAcentral's name for it is "partial 23S ribosomal RNA". It matches the Rfam family "Bacterial large subunit ribosomal RNA", at positions 1 to 2187 of the family's 2925-position model. The record is from RNAcentral. Lineage: Bacteria; Pseudomonadati; Pseudomonadota; Gammaproteobacteria; Enterobacterales; Enterobacteriaceae.
CCACCACCAAAGCAUUCUCUGGUGUUGAAGGCCCUGCAAAGCAGCAUCGCGGUGGCGGAGCGUCGUUUGCGACGCCCAACACAAAAAACAAGCGGUGAGUGCUUUGGGGUGGGGUGACUGCGUACCUUUUGUAUAAUGGGUCAGCGACUUAUAUUCUGUAGCAAGGUUAACCGAAUAGGGGAGCCGCAGGGAAACCGAGUCUUAAUUGGGCGUUAAGUUGCAGGGUAUAGACCCGAAACCCGGUGAUCUAGCCAUGGGCAGGUUGAAGGUUGGGUAACACUAACUGGAGGACCGAACCGACUAAUGUUGAAAAAUUAGCGGAUGACCUGUGGCUGGGGGUGAAAGGCCAAUCAAACCGGGAGAUAGCUGGUUCUCCCCGAAAGCUAUUUAGGUAGCGCCUCGUGAACUCAUCUCCGGGGGUAGAGCACUGUUUCGGCUAGGGGGCCAUCCCGGCUUACCAACCCGAUGCAAACUGCGAAUACCGGAGAAUGUUAUCACGGGAGACACACGGCGGGUGCUAACGUCCGUCGUGAAGAGGGAAACAACCCAGACCGCCAGCUAAGGUCCCAAAGUCAUGGUUAAGUGGGAAACGAUGUGGGAAGGCCCAGACAGCCAGGAUGUUGGCUUAGAAGCAGCCAUCAUUUAAAGAAAGCGUAAUAGCUCACUGGUCGAGUCGGCCUGCGCGGAAGAUGUAACGGGGCUAAACCAUGCACCGAAGCUGCGGCAGCGAACGUAUCACCCAAGACAACUUUACGGAGUUGACGAUUGACGGAGCGAAGCGACGUCAAAGCGUUCAUUAAAGUCGAGUUGGCUUAGGGAUACGUUCGUUGGGUAGGGGAGCGUUCUGUAAGCCUGUGAAGGUGUGUCGUGAGGCAUGCUGGAGGUAUCAGAAGUGCGAAUGCUGACAUAAGUAACGAUAAAGCGGGUGAAAAGCCCGCUCGCCGGAAGACCAAGGGUUCCUGUCCAACGUUAAUCGGGGCAGGGUGAGUCGACCCCUAAGGCGAGGCCGAAAGGCGUAGUCGAUGGGAAACGGGUUAAUAUUCCCGUACUUGGUGUUACUGCGAAGGGGGGACGGAGAAGGCUAUGUUGGCCGGGCGACGGUUGUCCCGGUUUAAGCGUGUAGGUGUGUGUUCCAGGUAAAUCCGGUUCACUUUAACACUGAGGCGUGACGACGAGGCACUACGGUGCUGAAGCAACAAAUGCCCUGCUUCCAGGAAAAGCCUCUAAGCAUCAGGUAACAUCAAAUCGUACCCCAAACCGACACAGGUGGUCAGGUAGAGAAUACCAAGGCGCUUGAGAGAACUCGGGUGAAGGAACUAGGCAAAAUGGUGCCGUAACUUCGGGAGAAGGCACGCUGACACGUAGGUGAAGUGAUUUACUCAUGGAGCUGAAGUCAGUCGAAGAUACCAGCUGGCUGCAACUGUUUAUUAAAAACACAGCACUGUGCAAACACGAAAGUGGACGUAUACGGUGUGACGCCUGCCCGGUGCCGGAAGGUUAAUUGAUGGGGUCAGCGCAAGCGAAGCUCCUGAUCGAAGCCCCGGUAAACGGCGGCCGUAACUAUAACGGUCCUAAGGUAGCGAAAUUCCUUGUCGGGUAAGUUCCGACCUGCACGAAUGGCGUAAUGAUGGCCAGGCUGUCUCCACCCGAGACUCAGUGAAAUUGAACUCGCUGUGAAGAUGCAGUGUACCCGCGGCAAGACGGAAAGACCCCGUGAACCUUUACUAUAGCUUGACACUGAACAUUGAGCCUUGAUGUGUAGGAUAGGUGGGAGGCUUUGAAGCGUGGACGCCAGUCUGCGUGGAGCC